RNAcentral lists this microRNA precursor (205 nucleotides) under Oryza rufipogon (brownbeard rice). RNAcentral's name for it is "MIR812 microRNA precursor family". It matches the Rfam family "MIR812 microRNA precursor family". The record is from Rfam by way of RNAcentral. Lineage: Eukaryota; Viridiplantae; Streptophyta; Magnoliopsida; Poales; Poaceae.
AAAAAAACAAACUCUGGGUUUCCAUGUUUAACUUUGACUGUCUGUCUUAUAUGAAUUUUUUUUAUAAUUUGUAUUUUUAUUGUUGUUAGAUGAUAAAGCAUGAUUAAUAUUUUAUACGUGACUUGUCUUUUUAAUUUUUUUCAUAUUUUUUUUAAAUAGGACGGACGGUCAAACGUUAGACACGGAAACCAGGUCUGUCUUUUUU